UACAGAGGUCCCAAGCGUUGUUCGGAAUUACUGGGCGUAAAGGGCUCGUAGGCGGCCAACUAAGUCAGACGUGAAAUCCCUCGGCUUAACCGGGGAACUGCGUCUGAUACUGGAUGGCUUGAGGUUGGGAGAGGGAUGCGGAAUUCCAGGUGUAGCGGUGAAAUGCGUAGAUAUCUGGAGGAACACCGGUGGCGAAGGCGGCAUCCUGGACCAAUUCUGACGCUGAGGAGCGAAAGCCAGGGGAGCAAACGGG
This 253-nucleotide ribosomal RNA is filed under the name uncultured bacterium. RNAcentral's name for it is "partial 16S ribosomal RNA". It matches the Rfam family "Bacterial small subunit ribosomal RNA", at positions 524 to 776 of the family's 1533-position model. The record is from RNAcentral.